AAGGUAGCGAAAUUCCUUGUCGGGUAAGUUCCGACCUGCACGAAUGGCGUAACGAUGGCCACACUGUCUCCUCCUGAGACUCAGCGAAGUUGAAGUGUUUGUGAAGAUGCAAUCUACCCGCGGCUAGACGGAAAGACCCCAUGAACCUUUACUGUAGCUUUGCAUUGGACUUUGACGGGACUUGUGUAGGAUAGGUGGGAGGCGAUGAGACCGGGACGCUAGUUCCGGUGGAGCCGUCCUUGAAAUACCACCCUGGUGUCGUUGAGGUUCUAACCUAGGUCCAUCAUCUGGAUCGGGGACCGUGCAUGGUAGGCAGUUUGACUGGGGCGGUCUCCUCCCAAAAGGUAACGGAGGAGUACGAAGGUCUUCUAGGUACGGUCGGACAUCGUACUGAUAGUGCAAUGGCAAAAGAAGGCUUGACUGCGAGACCGACAAGUCGAGCAGGUGCGAAAGCAGGUCAUAGUGAUCCGGUGGUUCUGUAUGGAAGGGCCAUCGCUCAACGGAU
RNAcentral lists this ribosomal RNA (505 nucleotides) under uncultured bacterium. RNAcentral describes it as "bacterial LSU rRNA". It matches the Rfam family "Bacterial large subunit ribosomal RNA", at positions 1953 to 2457 of the family's 2925-position model. The record is from RNAcentral.